Molecule: ribosomal RNA, 468 nt
Filed under: uncultured bacterium
Lineage: Bacteria
Description: partial 16S ribosomal RNA
Rfam family: Bacterial small subunit ribosomal RNA
Source: RNAcentral
GACGAACGCUGGCGGCGUGCUUAACACAUGCAAGUCGAACGGAAAGGCCCUGCUUUUGUGGGGUGCUCGAGUGGCGAACGGGUGAGUAACACGUGAGUAACCUGCCCUUGACUUUGGGAUAACAUCAGGAAACUGGGGCUAAUACCGGAUAGGAGCUCCUGCUGCAUGGUGGGGGUUGGAAAGUUUCGGCGGUUGGGGAUGGACUCGCGGCUUAUCAGCUUGUUGGUGGGGUAGUGGCUUACCAAGGCUUUGACGGGUAGCCGGCCUGAGAGGGUGACCGGCCACAUUGGGACUGAGAUACGGCCCAGACUCCUACGGGAGGCAGCAGUGGGGAAUAUGGCACAAUGGGCGGAAGCCUGAUGCAGCAACGCCGCGUGCGGGAUGACGGCCUUCGGGUUGUAAACCGCUUUCGCCUGUGACGAAGCGUGAGUGACGGUAAUGGGUAAAGAAGCACCGGCUAACUACGUG